This 199-nucleotide ribosomal RNA is filed under the name uncultured bacterium. Its description in RNAcentral is "partial 16S ribosomal RNA". It matches the Rfam family "Bacterial small subunit ribosomal RNA", at positions 328 to 539 of the family's 1533-position model. The record is from RNAcentral.
ACGCUCGACACCUACAGGAGGCAGCAGUGGGGAAUAUUGCACAAUGGGGGAAACCCUGAUGCAGCGACGCCGCGUGGAGGAAGAAGGUCUUCGGAUUGUAAACUCCUGUUGUUGGGGAAAAAGAGGAUGGUACCCCAACAAGGAAGUGACGGCUAACUACGUGCCAGUAGCCGCGGUAAUCUGAGCGGGCUGGCAAGGC